AGAGUUUGAUCAUGGCUCAGAUUGAACGCUGGCGGCAGGCCUAACACAUGCAAGUCGAACGGUAACAGGAAGCAGCUUGCUGCUUCGCUGACGAGUGGCGGACGGGUGAGUAAUGUCUGGGAAACUGCCUGAUGGAGGGGGAUAACUACUGGAAACGGUGGCUAAUACCGCAUAACGUCGCAAGACCAAAGAGGGGGACCUUCGGGCCUCUUGCCAUCAGAUGUGCCCAGAUGGGAUUAGCUUGUUGGUGAGGUAACGGCUCACCAAGGCGACGAUCCCUAGCUGGUCUGAGAGGAUGACCAGCCACACUGGAACUGAGACACGGUCCAGACUCCUACGGGAGGCAGCAGUGGGGAAUAUUGCACAAUGGGCGCAAGCCUGAUGCAGCCAUGCCGCGUGUAUGAAGAAGGCCUUCGGGUUGUAAAGUACUUUCAGCGGGGAGGAAGGUGUUGUGGUUAAUAACCGCAGCAAUUGACGUUACCCGCAGAAGAAGCACCGGCUAACUCCGUGCCAGCAGCCGCGGUAAUACGGAGGGUGCAAGCGUUAAUCGGAAUUACUGGGCGUAAAGCGCACGCAGGCGGUCUGUCAAGUCGGAUGUGAAAUCCCCGGGCUCAACCUGGGAACUGCAUUCGAAACUGGCAGGCUUGAGUCUUGUAGAGGGGGGUAGAAUUCCAGGUGUAGCGGUGAAAUGCGUAGAGAUCUGGAGGAAUACCGGUGGCGAAGGCGGCCCCCUGGACAAAGACUGACGCUCAGGUGCGAAAGCGUGGGAGCAAACAGGAUUAGAUACCCUGGUAGUCCACGCCGUAAACGAUGUCUACUUGGAGGUUGUGCCCUUGAGGCGUGGCUUCCGGAGCUAACGCGUUAAGUAGACCGCCUGGGGAGUACGGCCGCAAGGUUAAAACUCAAAUGAAUUGACGGGGGCCCGCACAAGCGGUGGAGCAUGUGGUUUAAUUCGAUGCAACGCGAAGAACCUUACCUGGUCUUGACAUCCACAGAACUUUCCAGAGAUGGAUUGGUGCCUUCGGGAACUGUGAGACAGGUGCUGCAUGGCUGUCGUCAGCUCGUGUUGUGAAAUGUUGGGUUAAGUCCCGCAACGAGCGCAACCCUUAUCCUUUGUUGCCAGCGAUUAGGUCGGGAACUCAAAGGAGACUGCCAGUGAUAAACUGGAGGAAGGUGGGGAUGACGUCAAGUCAUCAUGGCCCUUACGACCAGGGCUACACACGUGCUACAAUGGCGCAUACAAAGAGAAGCGACCUCGCGAGAGCAAGCGGACCUCAUAAAGUGCGUCGUAGUCCGGAUUGGAGUCUGCAACUCGACUCCAUGAAGUCGGAAUCGCUAGUAAUCGUGGAUCAGAAUGCCACGGUGAAUACGUUCCCGGGCCUUGUACACACCGCCCGUCACACCAUGGGAGUGGGUUGCAAAAGAAGUAGGUAGCUUAACCUUCGGGAGGGCGCUUACCACUUUGUGAUUCAUGACUGGGGUGAAGUCGUAACAAGGUAACCGUAGGGGAACCUGCGGUUGGAUCACCU
This 1529-nucleotide ribosomal RNA is filed under the name Salmonella enterica subsp. enterica serovar Typhimurium. RNAcentral's name for it is "bacterial SSU rRNA". It matches the Rfam family "Bacterial small subunit ribosomal RNA". Lineage: Bacteria; Pseudomonadati; Pseudomonadota; Gammaproteobacteria; Enterobacterales; Enterobacteriaceae. The record is from RNAcentral.